AGCCACAGCCAUAUCACCCUGCAGCUAAGCUCCCCUAUACUCCCUGAAGUUAAGCAGAGCUGAGACUGGUCAGUACCUGGAUGGGAGACCACAUGGGAAAACUAGGUUCCUGUUGGAA
RNAcentral lists this ribosomal RNA (118 nucleotides) under Danio rerio (zebrafish). The record is from RNAcentral. Lineage: Eukaryota; Metazoa; Chordata; Actinopteri; Cypriniformes; Danionidae.